This 496-nucleotide ribosomal RNA is filed under the name uncultured bacterium. RNAcentral's name for it is "partial 16S ribosomal RNA". It matches the Rfam family "Bacterial small subunit ribosomal RNA", at positions 28 to 507 of the family's 1533-position model. The record is from RNAcentral.
GAUGAACGCUGGCGGCGUGCCUAAUACAUGCAAGUCGAGCGAACAGACGAGGAGCUUGCUCCUCUGACGUUAGCGGCGGACGGGUGAGUAACACGUGGAUAACCUACCUAUAAGACUGGGAUAACUUCGGGAAACCGGAGCUAAUACCGGAUAAUAUAUUGAACCGCAUGGUUCAAUAGUGAAAGACGGUUUUGCUGUCACUUAUAGAUGGAUCCGCGCCGCAUUAGCUAGUUGGUAAGGUAACGGCUUACCAAGGCGACGAUGCGUAGCCGACCUGAGAGGGGAUCGGCCACACGGGAACUGAGACACGGGCCAGACGCCUACGGGAGGGAGCAGUAGGGAAUCUUGCGGAAUGGGCGAAAGCCUGACGGAGCAACGCCGCGUGAGUGAUGAAGGUCUUCGGAUCGUAAAACUCUGUUAUUAGGGAAGAACAAAUGUGUAAGUAACUAUGCACGUCUUGACGGUACCUAAUCAGAAAGCCACGGCUAGCUACGUG